This 206-nucleotide ribosomal RNA is filed under the name uncultured bacterium. RNAcentral describes it as "partial 16S ribosomal RNA". It matches the Rfam family "Bacterial small subunit ribosomal RNA", at positions 568 to 774 of the family's 1533-position model. The record is from RNAcentral.
UGCGUAGGCGGCUAGAUAAGUCAGAGGUGAAAUGCUACGGCUUAACUGUGGAAUUGCCUUUGAAACUAUAUAGCUAGAAUAGAGUUGAGGUUGGCGGAAUGUGACAUGUAGCGGUGGAAUGCAUAGAUAUGUCAUAGAACAUCGAUUGCGAAGGCAGCUAACUGGGCUUUUAUUGAGCUGAGGCACGAAAGCGUGGGGAUCAAACA